Molecule: transfer RNA, 93 nt
Organism: Termitomyces sp. J132
Lineage: Eukaryota; Fungi; Basidiomycota; Agaricomycetes; Agaricales; Lyophyllaceae
Rfam family: tRNA
About the family: Transfer RNA (tRNA) molecules are approximately 80 nucleotides in length. Their secondary structure includes four short double-helical elements and three loops (D, anti-codon, and T loops).
Source: Rfam
GGCGGGCUAGCGUAAUGGUUAACGCGUCAGUUUCCGGUUCGGAUCGGUUCGGAAAUGAGCUGAAGACUCCGGGUUCGAGUCCCGGGCCUGUCG